AACGAGCGCAACCUUAUUUCAGUUACUAACGCGCAAUGGCGAGGACUCUGAAGAGACUGCCGGGGACAACUCGGAGGAAGGUGGGGACGACGUCAAAUCAUCAUGCCCCUUAUGACCUGGGCUACACACGUGCUACAAUGGCCACCACAGAGAGGAGCGAACCUGCGAGGGGGAGCGGAUCUCAAAAAAGUGGUCCCAGUUCGGAUUGUGGGCUGCAACCCGCCCACAUGAAGUCGGAGUUGCUAGUAAUCGCGGAUCAGCAUGCCGCGGUGAAUACGUUCCCGGGCCUUGUACACACCGCCCGUCACACCAUGGGAGUUGGGAGUGCCCAAAGUCGGUGAGG
This 343-nucleotide ribosomal RNA is filed under the name uncultured rumen bacterium. RNAcentral's name for it is "bacterial SSU rRNA". It matches the Rfam family "Bacterial small subunit ribosomal RNA", at positions 1091 to 1435 of the family's 1533-position model. The record is from RNAcentral.